This 1357-nucleotide ribosomal RNA is filed under the name Lactiplantibacillus plantarum. RNAcentral's name for it is "bacterial SSU rRNA". It matches the Rfam family "Bacterial small subunit ribosomal RNA", at positions 59 to 1382 of the family's 1533-position model. The record is from RNAcentral. Lineage: Bacteria; Bacillati; Bacillota; Bacilli; Lactobacillales; Lactobacillaceae.
CAGUCGAACGAACUCUGGUAUUGAUUGGUGCUUGCAUCAUGAUUUACAUUUGAGUGAGUGGCGAACUGGUGAGUAACACGUGGGAAACCUGCCCAGAAGCGGGGGAUAACACCUGGAAACAGAUGCUAAUACCGCAUAACAACUUGGACCGCAUGGUCCGAGUUUGAAAGAUGGCUUCGGCUAUCACUUUUGGAUGGUCCCGCGGCGUAUUAGCUAGAUGGUGGGGUAACGGCUCACCAUGGCAAUGAUACGUAGCCGACCUGAGAGGGUAAUCGGCCACAUUGGGACUGAGACACGGCCCAAACUCCUACGGGAGGCAGCAGUAGGGAAUCUUCCACAAUGGACGAAAGUCUGAUGGAGCAACGCCGCGUGAGUGAAGAAGGGUUUCGGCUCGUAAAACUCUGUUGUUAAAGAAGAACAUAUCUGAGAGUAACUGUUCAGGUAUUGACGGUAUUUAACCAGAAAGCCACGGCUAACUACGUGCCAGCAGCCGCGGUAAUACGUAGGUGGCAAGCGUUGUCCGGAUUUAUUGGGCGUAAAGCGAGCGCAGGCGGUUUUUUAAGUCUGAUGUGAAAGCCUUCGGCUCAACCGAAGAAGUGCAUCGGAAACUGGGAAACUUGAGUGCAGAAGAGGACAGUGGAACUCCAUGUGUAGCGGUGAAAUGCGUAGAUAUAUGGAAGAACACCAGUGGCGAAGGCGGCUGUCUGGUCUGUAACUGACGCUGAGGCUCGAAAGUAUGGGUAGCAAACAGGAUUAGAUACCCUGGUAGUCCAUACCGUAAACGAUGAAUGCUAAGUGUUGGAGGGUUUCCGCCCUUCAGUGCUGCAGCUAACGCAUUAAGCAUUCCGCCUGGGGAGUACGGCCGCAAGGCUGAAACUCAAAGGAAUUGACGGGGGCCCGCACAAGCGGUGGAGCAUGUGGUUUAAUUCGAAGCUACGCGAAGAACCUUACCAGGUCUUGACAUACUAUGCAAAUCUAAGAGAUUAGACGUUCCCUUCGGGGACAUGGAUACAGGUGGUGCAUGGUUGUCGUCAGCUCGUGUCGUGAGAUGUUGGGUUAAGUCCCGCAACGAGCGCAACCCUUAUUAUCAGUUGCCAGCAUUAAGUUGGGCACUCUGGUGAGACUGCCGGUGACAAACCGGAGGAAGGUGGGGAUGACGUCAAAUCAUCAUGCCCCUUAUGACCUGGGCUACACACGUGCUACAAUGGAUGGUACAACGAGUUGCGAACUCGCGAGAGUAAGCUAAUCUCUUAAAGCCAUUCUCAGUUCGGAUUGUAGGCUGCAACUCGCCUACAUGAAGUCGGAAUCGCUAGUAAUCGCGGAUCAGCAUGCCGCGGUGAAUACGUUCCCGGGCCUU